Molecule: transfer RNA, 74 nt
Filed under: Alkalinema sp. CAN_BIN05
Lineage: Bacteria; Bacillati; Cyanobacteriota; Cyanophyceae; Leptolyngbyales; Leptolyngbyaceae
Description: tRNA-Arg
Rfam family: tRNA
About the family: Transfer RNA (tRNA) molecules are approximately 80 nucleotides in length. Their secondary structure includes four short double-helical elements and three loops (D, anti-codon, and T loops).
Source: RNAcentral
GGGACUGUAGCUCAGAUGGAUAGAGCGACCGCCUCCUAAGCGGUAGGCCAUGGGUUCAACUCCCGUCAGUCCCG